This 497-nucleotide ribosomal RNA is filed under the name uncultured bacterium. RNAcentral describes it as "partial 16S ribosomal RNA". It matches the Rfam family "Bacterial small subunit ribosomal RNA", at positions 28 to 507 of the family's 1533-position model. The record is from RNAcentral.
GAUGAACGCUGGCGGCGUGCCUAAUACAUGCAAGUCGAGCGAACAGACGAGGAGCUUGCUCCUCUGACGUUAGCGGCGGACGGGUGAGUAACACGUGGAUAACCUACCAAUAAGACUGGGAUAACUUCGGGAAACCGGAGCUAAUACCGGAUAAUAUAUUGAACCGCAUGGUUCAAUAGUGAAAGACGGUUUUGCUGUCACUUAUAGAUGGAUCCGCGCCGCAUUAGCUAGUUGGUAAGGUAACGGCUUACCAAGGCAACGAUGCGUAGCCGACCUGAGAGGGUGAUCGGCCACACUGGAACUGAGACACGGUCCAGCCUCCUACGGGAGGCAGCAGUAGGGAAUCUUCCGCAAUGGGCGAAAGCUUGACGGAGCAACGCCGCGUGAGUGAUGAAGGUCUUCGGAUCGUAAAACUCUGUUAUUAGGGAAGAACAAAUGUGUAAGUAACUAUGCACGUCUUGACGGUACCUAAUCAGAAAGCCACGGCUAACUACGUG